Molecule: non-coding RNA, 73 nt
Organism: Trichonephila inaurata madagascariensis
Lineage: Eukaryota; Metazoa; Arthropoda; Arachnida; Araneae; Nephilidae
Source: the annotation of a GenBank genome assembly
GUCCCUGUAGCGUAAUGGAUAGCGCGUUGGACUUUUCAUCCAAUGGUCAUGGGUUCGAAUCCUACCUGGGAUG